GACGAACGCUGGCGGCGUGCUUAACGCAUGCAAGUCGAACGGAAAGGCCCUGCUUUUGUGGGGUGCUCGAGUGGCGAACGGGUGAGUAACACGUGAGUAACCUGCCCUUGACUUUGGGAUAACUUCAGGAAACUGGGGCUAAUACCGGAUAGGAGCUCCUGCUGCAUGGUGGGGGUUGGAAAGUUUCGGCGGUUGGGGAUGGACUCGCGGCUUAUCAGCUUGUUGGUGGGGUAGUGGCUUACCAAGGCUUUGACGGGUAGCCGGCCUGAGAGGGUGACCGGCCACAUUGGGACUGAGAUACGGCCCAGACUCCUACGGGAGGCAGCAGUGGGGAAUAUUGCACAAUGGGCGGAAGCCUGAUGCAGCAACGCCGCGUGCGGGAUGACGGCCUUCGGGUUGUAAACCGCUUUCGCCUGUGACGAAGCGUGAGUGACGGUAAUGGGUAAAGAAGCACCGGCUAACUACGUGCCAGCAGCCGCGGUGAUACGUAGGGUGCGAGCGUUGUCCGGAUUUAUUGGGCGUAAAGGGCUCGUAGGUGGUUGAUCGCGUCGGAAGUGUAAUCUUGGGGCUUAACCCUGAGCGUGCUUUCGAUACGGGUUGACUUGAGGAAGGUAGGGGAGAAUGGAAUUCCUGGUGGAGCGGUGGAAUGCGCAGAUAUCAGGAGGAACACCAGUGGCGAAGGCGGUUCUCUGGGCCUUUCCUGACGCUGAGGAGCGAAAGCGUGGGGAGCGAACAGGCUUAGAUACCCUGGUAGUCCACGCUGUAAACGGUGGGUACUAGGUGUGGGGUCCAUUCCACGGGUUCCGUGCCGUAGCUAACGCUUUAAGUACCCCGCCUGGGGAGUACGGCCGCAAGGCUAAAACCCAAAGGAAUUGACGGGGCCCCGCACAAGCGGCGGAGCAUGCGGAUUAAUUCGAUGCAACGCGUAGAACCUUACCUGGGUUUGACAUGGAUCGGGAGCGCUCAGAGAUGGGUGUGCCUCUUUUGGGGUCGGUUCACAGGUGGUGCAUGGCUGUCGUCAGCUCGUGUCGUGAGAUGUCGGGUUAAGUCCCGCAACGAGCGCAACCCUUGUUCACUGUUGCCAGCACGUUAUGGUGGGGACUCAGUGGAGACCGCCGGGGUCAACUCGGAGGAAGGUGGGGAUGACGUCAAGUCAUCAUGCCCCUUAUGUCCAGGGCUUCACGCAUGCUGCAAUGGCUGGUACAGAGAGUGGCGAGCCUGUGAGGGUGAGCGAAUCUCGGAAAGCCGGUCUCAGUUCGGAUUGGGGUCUGCAACUCGACCUCAUGAAGUCGGAGUCGCUAGUAAUCGCAGAUCAGCAACGCUGCGGUGAAUACGUUCCCGGGGCU
RNAcentral lists this ribosomal RNA (1346 nucleotides) under uncultured bacterium. RNAcentral describes it as "bacterial SSU rRNA". It matches the Rfam family "Bacterial small subunit ribosomal RNA", at positions 28 to 1381 of the family's 1533-position model. The record is from RNAcentral.